CCUACGGGAGGCAGCAGUGAGGAAUAUUGGUCAAUGGGCGCGAGCCUGAACCAGCCAAGUAGCGUGAAGGAUGACUGCCCUAAGGGUUGUAAACUCCUUGUAUAAAGGAAUAAAGUGAGGCACGUGUGCCUUUUUGUAUGUAAUUUAUGAAUAAGGAUCGGCUCAAUCCGCGCCAGCAGCCGCGGUAAUACGGAGGAUCCGAGCGUUAUCCGGAUUUAUUGGGUUUAAAGGGAGCGUAGAUGGGUUGUUAAGUCAGUUGUGAAAGUUUGCGGCUCAACCGUAAAAUUGCAAUUGAUACUGGCAGCCUUGAGUGCAGUUGAGGUAGGCGGAAUUCGUGGUGUAGCGGUGAAAUGCUUAGAUAUCACGAAGAACUCCGAUUGCGAAGUCAGCUUACUAAACUGCCACUGACAUUGAUGCUCGAAAGUGUGGGUAUCAAACAGGAUUAGAUACCCUGGUAGUC
This 460-nucleotide ribosomal RNA is filed under the name uncultured bacterium. RNAcentral describes it as "partial 16S ribosomal RNA". It matches the Rfam family "Bacterial small subunit ribosomal RNA", at positions 338 to 795 of the family's 1533-position model. The record is from RNAcentral.